RNAcentral lists this ribosomal RNA (332 nucleotides) under Ixodes scapularis (black-legged tick). Its description in RNAcentral is "partial 16S ribosomal RNA". The record is from RNAcentral. Lineage: Eukaryota; Metazoa; Arthropoda; Arachnida; Ixodida; Ixodidae.
GAAAUAAGAUUUUAAAUGAGUGCUAAGAGAAUGAUUAAACAAUUAAAAGCUUUCUUUAAUUAAAAAAUUAAAUUUAAUUUUUUAGUGCAAAAGCAAAAAUAAAAUUUAGGGACAAGAAGACCCUAUGAAUUUUUAUUGUUAAUAAUUAAAAUUUAAAUUAUUAAUAAUUUAAUUGGGGCGAUAAAAAAAGAAUAAGUAUCUUUUUAGUUAUAAAAUAAGUUCCGUUUUUAGCGAUUAAAUGAAAUAAAUACUCUAGGGAUAACAGCGUAAUAAUUUUGGAUAGUUCAUAUAGAUAAAAUAGUUUGCGACCUCGAUGUUGGAUUAGGAUUCUU